This is a long non-coding RNA of Zingiber officinale, 451 nucleotides long. RefSeq lists it as uncharacterized. Lineage: Eukaryota; Viridiplantae; Streptophyta; Magnoliopsida; Zingiberales; Zingiberaceae. The transcript is spliced from 2 exons. The record is from RefSeq and is a predicted model, not a curated record.
GUUAUCUUUCAACCUACGCUCCAUUUUUAUCCAUUUCUUUGUCCAGAAAACCAAUGCAUUUAAUUUUUUUCUUUUAAAUCAUGAUGGAUCUCAUGACUGUGUACCCUUAAAAGAGAUGGAAGCAGAUUGGCAUUCUUGUCUUGACGACAAAUUUAGAUUCAAGUGCCCAAGAAAUCACAAGAAAAAGUUGUGAAGUUUGACUUUCAUGGCCAAUCUGUCGAGCUCAAACAUGAUAGUGUUGUGCUUGGUGUUGGACUUGCUGCCAAGAAGGCUUGUGAAUUGGGUCUUUAGGUUAUAGUUGAUAAGGGGAUAAAUAUGCCUUUUUGUCCCCUUUUUUUUCUAAAAGAAAAAGGGUCAAGGCCUUACUUAAAUUAGAUUAACAAUAUUGUGAAUUUAUUUGGAUAUUGUCUGUCUUUGCUAUAAGAUGAUAGUUUGUUGUUGUUGUUUGUUA